ACGAACGCUGGCGGCGUGCUUAACCCAUGCCAGUCGCACGGAAAGGCCCUGCUUUUGUGGGGUGCUCGAGUGGCGAACGGGUGAGUAACACGUGAGUAACCUGCCCUUGACUUUGGGAUAACUUCAGGAAACUGGGGCUAAUACCGGAUAGGAGCUCCUGCUGCAUGGUGGGGGUUGGAAAGUUUCGGCGGUUGGGGAUGGACUCGCGGCUUAUCAGCUUGUUGGUGGGGUAGUGGCUUACCAAGGCUUUGACGGGUAGCCGGCCUGAGAGGGUGACCGGCCACAUUGGGACUGAGAUACGGCCCAGACUCCUACGGGAGGCAGCAGUGGGGAAUAUUGCACAAUGGGCGGAAGCCUGAUGCAGCAACGCCGCGUGCGGGAUGACGGCCUUCGGGUUGUAAACCGCUUUCGCCUGUGACGAAGCGUGAGUGACGGUAAUGGGUAAAGAAGCGCCGGCUAACUACGUG
This 467-nucleotide ribosomal RNA is filed under the name uncultured bacterium. RNAcentral describes it as "partial 16S ribosomal RNA". It matches the Rfam family "Bacterial small subunit ribosomal RNA", at positions 29 to 507 of the family's 1533-position model. The record is from RNAcentral.